Molecule: transfer-messenger RNA, 372 nt
Filed under: Alphaproteobacteria bacterium
Lineage: Bacteria; Pseudomonadati; Pseudomonadota; Alphaproteobacteria
Also listed under: 1 other name
Rfam family: Alphaproteobacteria transfer-messenger RNA
About the family: Bacterial tmRNA, also known as 10Sa RNA or SsrA, is named for its dual tRNA and mRNA-like properties.
Source: RNAcentral
CCUCUUCAACUGGCGGCCGAUCCCGCCUAUAUAGGGUGUGCCGGAGGCAUCCGGCUAUGGCGAUAAACGGGGCGUGGAAUAAGCGGACCGGACCCGGGGGCAGUACCCGGCGCCUCCACCACAAGCCCGCGAACGUGUUGCUUCGCGGGCUUCUGAUGGGGGCGAACCAGGAUCGACGGACGUGUAAAGACGCAUCUUUCGCCCGGCAUGGUUCCGCCGUUAUCGGGCCGUAAGCACAGUUGCGAAUGACAACAAUCGUGCACGGAUGGCGAUGGCUGCGUAAUGCAGCCGGAGUGAUCCACUCCUAAAGUCCACGGCUUGCACAAGCCGUGGCGGGGUCCGGAGGGCGCCUGGCAACAGAAGCCCUCCACU